Molecule: ribosomal RNA, 253 nt
Filed under: uncultured bacterium
Lineage: Bacteria
Description: partial 16S ribosomal RNA
Rfam family: Bacterial small subunit ribosomal RNA
Source: RNAcentral
UACGAAGGGGGCUAGCGUUGCUCGGAAUCACUGGGCGUAAAGCGCACGUAGGCGGAUUGUUAAGUCAGGGGUGAAAUCCUGGAGCUCAACUCCAGAACUGCCUUUGAUACUGGCGAUCUCGAGUCCGGGAGAGGUGAGUGGAACUGCGAGUGUAGAGGUGAAAUUCGUAGAUAUCGGGAGGAACACCAGUGGCGAAGGCGGCGACCUGGGCCAAUACUGACGCUGAGGUGCGAAAGCGUGGGGAGCAAACAGG